This 465-nucleotide ribosomal RNA is filed under the name Vreelandella stevensii. Its description in RNAcentral is "partial 16S ribosomal RNA". It matches the Rfam family "Bacterial small subunit ribosomal RNA", at positions 338 to 795 of the family's 1533-position model. The record is from RNAcentral. Lineage: Bacteria; Pseudomonadati; Pseudomonadota; Gammaproteobacteria; Oceanospirillales; Halomonadaceae.
CCUACGGGGUGCAGCAGUGGGGAAUAUUGGACAAUGGGCGAAAGCCUGAUCCAGCCAUGCCGCGUAUGUGAAGAAGGCCUUCGGGUUGUAAAGCACUUUCAGUGGGGAAGAAAGCCUUGGGGCUAAUACCCUCGAGGAAGGACAUCACCCACAGAAGAAGCACCGGCUAACUCCGUGCCAGCAGCCGCGGUAAUACGGAGGGUGCGAGCGUUAAUCGGAAUUACUGGGCGUAAAGCGCGCGUAGGCGGUCUGAUAAGCCGGUUGUGAAAGCCCCGGGCUCAACCUGGGAACGGCAUCCGGAACUGUCAGGCUAGAGUGCAGGAGAGGAAGGUAGAAUUCCCGGUGUAGCGGUGAAAUGCGUAGAGAUCGGGAGGAAUACCAGUGGCGAAGGCGGCCUUCUGGACUGACACUGACGCUGAGGUGCGAAAGCGUGGGUAGCAAACAGGAUUAGAUACCCCAGUAGUC